UACGUAGGGCGCAAGCGUUAUCCGGAAUUAUUGGGCGUAAAGAGCUCGUAGGUGGUUUGUCGCGUCUGCCGUGAAAGUCCGGGGCUCAACUCCGGAUCUGCGGUGGGUACGGGCAGACUAGAGUGAUGUAGGGGAGACUGGAAUUCCUGGUGUAGCGGUGAAAUGCGCAGAUAUCAGGAGGAACACCGAUGGCGAAGGCAGGUCUCUGGGCAUUAACUGACGCUGAGGAGCGAAAGCAUGGGGAGCGAACAGG
This 253-nucleotide ribosomal RNA is filed under the name uncultured bacterium. Its description in RNAcentral is "partial 16S ribosomal RNA". It matches the Rfam family "Bacterial small subunit ribosomal RNA", at positions 524 to 776 of the family's 1533-position model. The record is from RNAcentral.